This 232-nucleotide ribosomal RNA is filed under the name uncultured bacterium. RNAcentral describes it as "partial 16S ribosomal RNA". It matches the Rfam family "Bacterial small subunit ribosomal RNA", at positions 100 to 334 of the family's 1533-position model. The record is from RNAcentral.
CGGGACGGGUGAGUAAUGUCUGGGAAACUGCCUGAUGGAGGGGGGUAACUACUGGAAACGGUAGCUAAUACCGCAUAACGUCGCAAGACCAAAGAGGGGGACCUUGGGCCUCUUGCCAUCGGAUGUGCCCAGAUGGGAUUAGCUAGUAGGUGGGGUAACGGCUCACCUAGGCGACGAUCCCUAGCUGGUCUGAGAGGAUGACCAGCCACACUGGAACUGAGACACGGUCCAG